GCGGCGGCCGGCCGGGGUCUCGGCGCUGCAGUCGCAGAAGACGAUGCGCCCGUCGUCGUCGCGCCCGGUCACGUCCGGCUCGCCGCCC
This 88-nucleotide transfer RNA is filed under the name Pseudoduganella buxea. RNAcentral describes it as "tRNA-Cys". Lineage: Bacteria; Pseudomonadati; Pseudomonadota; Betaproteobacteria; Burkholderiales; Oxalobacteraceae. The record is from RNAcentral.